Long non-coding RNA from Photinus pyralis (common eastern firefly), 1853 nucleotides. RefSeq lists it as uncharacterized. The transcript has 3 exons. NCBI's taxonomy places the organism in Eukaryota, Metazoa, Arthropoda, Insecta, Coleoptera, Lampyridae. The record is from RefSeq and is a predicted model, not a curated record.
CAUACCGUAUUUCUAAUUAUGUUUCCUUCAUAAAAAAUUUUUUUUGGGGACGUUUACCGUAAUAGUAAUGGGUAGGCCGAGUACAUCGCUUGAUUUCAGCCGAACGCGCUUUAAUGCAAGGUUUCGUUAUUAGCAAAAAAAAUUGCAUCGGUGGCAAGUACUAUAUCCGCCAUACAUGAGGCGAAUACUAAUUUUUGAAAAAGAUCAUUUGUUUUUAAACAAAUAGUGAAAACAAUUACUGGGAAUCCCUUUAAAUAUGACGUCAGCCGCAAACGCCCUGCCAUUAGUGUGACGUCACAACUGUGGUCGCCAUAUUUGUUUACAUUCUGUGUUCGUAGAUCCAGGCUUGUAGAGGUCCGUUCGGCAAGGCCAGGUUUGCUCUCUUGUGCGCAAAAACGAUAAACAAUGUGUAGUCAAACUAAUAGUAGAUAAUGCUGAUAAUGGCCGAUCCUGGCUUUGUCAAAGCUCAAUCGGACAAUCUUCCGCACGUCGACGCCUUAAUGGUAGCCGAAUUUUUCGCAUCCAGCGACAAAUACACCGCGGUAGAAAUUAGAGGACUCAACUGAAAGCUAUGCGUGCUGGUCGUGAAAAUUACGGUAAUGCCUGUUGGUUACGUGCAGAUACAACGCAGUCAAAAUGUUUGUACGAUAAAGUGUCGGCUUUGCCCUGAACACAGAGUAAGGCAGCGUUGUUGUUGUCAUCGAUGAAGUGGAGGAGAAGAUCCAGUCUGCGGAUUGUCAAGAUUGUGCAGCUGGAGCAGGGGGUUGCAAGCAUGCAGUGGCCUUUGUCAUGUGGUUGCAUAGGCGUGGCGAAGAACCUUCUCCAACUGAUGUUGAGAGCUACUGGAGAAAAUCAAAGUUGGCAGGAGUUGGUAUCUCACUGAAAUAUAUAACGGUGAAAAACUUUGGAGCUGCAGAGGAUACUCCUGCAGGGUCUUCAGUUGCCCCUGCUAGCACGCUUGAUAGAAGGGAGUAAGUAAAAAUCAGUUGCAAGUCAACUGCUAAAGUAUUUCUCCGAUGGUGCAAGUACAAAUAAUUUAAACAACAUGGGGGUGCAUACGCUUGCAGUCAACUUUAUCGUAGGUGAAGGGCAAGGAGUAGAUAAUUUCUUUACUUUUUGUGAAGAAAGAAUGACUCCAGAAAUGUGCAACAUAUGUUUUAUUGCUACAAAAGAGCAAAGCAGUAGUGUCUUAUGGCAUGAAUUGCGCUAUGCAAGAAUUACAGCAUCAAAAGUGUACGAAGCUGCAAGAUGUAAAACACUAUCUGGCUCAUUAGUGGAGUUCAUAUUUGGGGCAAAACUAAAAGAAACUGCAGCUAUAAAUCGAGGUAAGCUACUUGAAGAUGAAGUUCUGUCAGUUUUACAGAAACAGCUGAAUAUGAAAUUCAGCAAAGUUGGUUUGAUGUUGUCAGGAAAGUAUCCGGUAUUUGGUGCUUCACCGAAUGCUGUUAAUGAGGAAUUCGUAGUGGAAGUUAAAUGUCCCUCUAGUGAAAAGACUGUCAAUGCUUAUGUGACAAAAGACAAUAAAAUAGUAAACAAGGGCACAGAUUCACUUACAAAUGCUAGUAAAUAAUAAGAGAAGUGGUAUAUUUUGUGUCGCAGAUCCAAAUUUUGAAAGCAACAAAGUUAUUACUGUGUUAAGAGAUGAAUAUGAUCACGAUUUUAUUCAACCGGUAAUAGAAAUGGCAGUUGAUUUUUGGAAAGCAGCAAUUUUUCCUAAAGUUUUAAAUAGCCUUCCACCCGAGCUUCCAUCAUUGUAAAUAUGUAUACCUUUAUAUAAGUGUAAACCAUUAUUUUUUGUAAAUAUGUAACGUUAUUGUUUUCUUUUUAUGACAUGGAAUAAAUUGUUUUAAAUA